Molecule: ribosomal RNA, 471 nt
Filed under: uncultured Desulfobulbus sp.
Lineage: Bacteria; Pseudomonadati; Thermodesulfobacteriota; Desulfobulbia; Desulfobulbales; Desulfobulbaceae
Description: bacterial SSU rRNA
Rfam family: Bacterial small subunit ribosomal RNA
Source: RNAcentral
CCCGCACAAGCGGUGGAGCACGUGGUUUAAUUCGAUGACAAACCGAAGACCUUACCUGGGUUUGACAUGUACGUGGUACGGAUAUGAAAGUUGAAGGACUCCGCUUUCGGGUGGAGAGCGUACACAGGUGCUGCAUGGCUGUCGUCAGCUCGUGUCGUGAGAUGUUGGGUUAAGUCCCGCAACGAGCGCAACCCUUGCCUUUAGUUACCAGCAGUUCGGCUGGGCACUCUAAAGGGACUGCCGGUGUUAAACCGGAGGAAGGUGGGGAUGACGUCAAGUCCUCAUGGCCUUUAUGACCAGGGCUACACACGUACUACAAUGGCCGAUACAAAGGGCAGCGACACUGCGAGGUGAAGCCAAUCCCGUAAAAUCGGUCUCAGUCCGGAUUGGAGUCUGCAACUCGACUCCAUGAAGUUGGAAUCGCUAGUAAUCGUGGAUCAGCAUGCCACGGUGAAUACGUUCCCGGGCCUU